GGUUCUAUGGUGUAAUGAUCAGCGCUUUGGGCUUUGAAUCCAGUGAUCUGAGUUCAAGUCUCGGUAGAACCU
This 72-nucleotide transfer RNA is filed under the name Dallia pectoralis (Alaska blackfish). Its description in RNAcentral is "tRNA-OTHER". It matches the Rfam family "tRNA". Rfam says of the family: Transfer RNA (tRNA) molecules are approximately 80 nucleotides in length. Their secondary structure includes four short double-helical elements and three loops (D, anti-codon, and T loops). The record is from RNAcentral. Lineage: Eukaryota; Metazoa; Chordata; Actinopteri; Esociformes; Umbridae.